RNAcentral lists this ribosomal RNA (1294 nucleotides) under Massilia sp. RNAcentral's name for it is "bacterial SSU rRNA". It matches the Rfam family "Bacterial small subunit ribosomal RNA", at positions 56 to 1353 of the family's 1533-position model. The record is from RNAcentral. Lineage: Bacteria; Pseudomonadati; Pseudomonadota; Betaproteobacteria; Burkholderiales; Oxalobacteraceae.
UGCAGUCGAACGGCAGCACGGGCUUCGGCCUGGUGGCGAGUGGCGAACGGGUGAGUAAUACAUCGGAACGUACCCAGAAGUGGGGGAUAACGUAGCGAAAGUUACGCUAAUACCGCAUACGUUCUACGGAAGAAAGUGGGGGAUCGCAAGACCUCAUGCUUUUGGAGCGGCCGAUGUCUGAUUAGCUAGUUGGUGAGGUAAAGGCUCACCAAGGCGACGAUCAGUAGCUGGUCUGAGAGGACGACCAGCCACACUGGAACUGAGACACGGUCCAGACUCCUACGGGAGGCAGCAGUGGGGAAUUUUGGACAAUGGGCGCAAGCCUGAUCCAGCAAUGCCGCGUGAGUGAAGAAGGCCUUCGGGUUGUAAAGCUCUUUUGUCAGGGAAGAAACGGCAGAGGCUAAUAUCCUUUGCUAAUGACGGUACCUGAAGAAUAAGCACCGGCUAACUACGUGCCAGCAGCCGCGGUAAUACGUAGGGUGCAAGCGUUAAUCGGAAUUACUGGGCGUAAAGCGUGCGCAGGCGGUUUUGUAAGUCUGACGUGAAAGCCCCGGGCUCAACCUGGGAAUUGCGUUGGAGACUGCAAGGCUUGAAUCUGCAGAGGGGGGUAGAAUUCCACGUGUAGCAGUGAAAUGCGUAGAGAUGUGGAGGAACACCGAUGGCGAAGGCAGCCCCCUGGGUCAAGAUUGACGCUCAUGCACGAAAGCGUGGGGAGCAAACAGGAUUAGAUACCCUGGUAGUCCACGCCCUAAACGAUGUCUACUAGUUGUCGGGUUUUAAUUAACUUGGUAACGCAGCUAACGCGUGAAGUAGACCGCCUGGGGAGUACGGUCGCAAGAUUAAAACUCAAAGGAAUUGACGGGGACCCGCACAAGCGGUGGAUGAUGUGGAUUAAUUCGAUGCAACGCGAAAAACCUUACCUACCCUUGACAUGUCAGGAAUCCUUGAGAGAUUGAGGAGUGCCCGAAAGGGAACCUGAACACAGGUGCUGCAUGGCUGUCGUCAGCUCGUGUCGUGAGAUGUUGGGUUAAGUCCCGCAACGAGCGCAACCCUUGUCAUUAGUUGCUACGCAAGAGCACUCUAAUGAGACUGCCGGUGACAAACCGGAGGAAGGUGGGGAUGACGUCAAGUCCUCAUGGCCCUUAUGGGUAGGGCUUCACACGUCAUACAAUGGUACAUACAGAGGGCCGCCAACCCGCGAGGGGGAGCUAAUCCCAGAAAGUGUAUCGUAGUCCGGAUCGUAGUCUGCAACUCGACUACGUGAAGUUGGAAUCGCUAGUAAUCGCGGAUCAGC